RNAcentral lists this ribosomal RNA (495 nucleotides) under uncultured bacterium. RNAcentral describes it as "partial 16S ribosomal RNA". It matches the Rfam family "Bacterial small subunit ribosomal RNA", at positions 30 to 507 of the family's 1533-position model. The record is from RNAcentral.
UGAACGCUGGCGGCGUGCCUAAUACAUGCAAGUCGAGCGAACAGACGCGGAGCUUGCUCCUCUGACGUUAGCGGCGGACGGGUGAGUAACACGUGGAUAACCUACCUAUAAGACUGGGAUAACUUCGGGAAACCGGAGCUAAUACCGGAUAAUAUAUUGAACCGCAUGGUUCAAUAGUGAAAGACGGUUUUGCUGUCACUUAUAGAUGGAUCCGCGCCGCAUUAGCUAGUUGGUAAGGUAACGGCUUACCAAGGCGACGAUGCGUAGCCGACCUGAGAGGGUGAUCGGCCACACUGGAACGGAGACACGGUCCAGACUCCUACGGGAGGCAGCAGUAGGGAAUCUUCCGCAAUGGGCGAAAGCCUGACGGAGCAACGCCGCGUGAGUGAUGAAGGUCUUCGGAUCGUAAAACUCUGUUAUUAGGGAAGAACAAAUGUGUAAGUAACUAUGCACGUCUUGACGGUACCUAAUCAGAAAGCCACGGCUAACUACGUG